CUAUGAGAUUUGAAAAGCUGAGUCCACAAGUCUAUGGCCACAGUAGUGUGAUUAAUGAAAAAGUAUUUUCAUUUAGAAUCACUAUUAGACUUGAGCUGAUCGGAUCUAUCAUAUGACUGAUGAUGAGGUUUGACGAUUUAUCUAUGACCUACCAACUAGUCGGAACUCACGAUAGAGGAACUAUAUCAUACAUUAACUAUACCUAG
Molecule: long non-coding RNA, 206 nt
Filed under: Elaeis guineensis (African oil palm)
Lineage: Eukaryota; Viridiplantae; Streptophyta; Magnoliopsida; Arecales; Arecaceae
Description: long non-coding RNA (EGUI_LNC049443)
Source: RNAcentral